Molecule: long non-coding RNA, 3441 nt
Organism: Leopardus geoffroyi (Geoffroy's cat)
Lineage: Eukaryota; Metazoa; Chordata; Mammalia; Carnivora; Felidae
Exons: 3
Source: RefSeq, a predicted model, not a curated record
UGAACCGUGAGAUCAUGACCUGAACCAAAGUCAGCCGCUGAGCCACCCAGGCACCCCCAACUGCCCUUGUUGAUCACUUUUCUUUAUAUUUGUGUGUUGGCAAAAAGCUUGAAGUGACCACCUACUUGAUGGGCUUCCGGAGAGAGUAGGAAAUGCUCUUGGGAAAAUUUUAUCUUAAGUAUUAUUAUUAUUAUUAAAAUAAGACAUUAGCACAAAAUGGUGGCAGGAGUGGGAGGUGGAUGGAUCAGAUGAGACGACCUGGGGAGGUUUAAUAAGAUCAGAGUAUUGAAACUUCAAGGGAAUAUGGGAGCUACCGUGGCAGCUCAGAAAGUCUCAGCAAUGUGGCAUGCGUGCCUGGAUGCAAUGGCCCGGGCUCAGCAGGGUGUGUGUGCCUUUGUGGCAUGUCUGUCGUUGCAUACCUGCAGUGAGUGUGUGUGUGUGUGUGUGUGUGUGUGUGUGUGUACCCGCAUGAUGGGCCUGGUGCACAUGGGGUUAUAGAACUUUUCAUCAGAAAGGAGUCUGUGUGUGUAUGCGUGUGUAUGUUUAGGUGUGGACAUCUCUGUGUGUGUUUUGAGUCCUGUUUCCAUGAGAGGGUGACUUCCUUCACCUGUGUGCACUUGGAGAUUUUUUUUCCCUUUUUUUUUAUUCCAGUAAAUGUAGCUUGAAAGCUGAGGAUAGCACAGCUUUUCCCCAAACACAGAUCACAUCACAAUUUUUCUUUCAGAGAAAAAUGCUACAAAAUAACCUGCAGAUGGUGAGUCUCCCUCUUUUUUUUCCUCUCUUUCUGUCUUGCUCUUUCUCUGUGGCUUUCUGUCUGUGUCUCUGUCUCUGUGUUGGUAUCUCUGCCUCUAUCUCUAAGGCCCUAUUUAUAGCUUAAAAUGCUCUCAUAUUUUCACACUUAGCAUAUGAAAUGUCCCCAUGUUACAUAAAAUAACACACAUUUGAGUCUGUAAUUAGAUCAGUGUCUCAUCCCACGUUUCACCUAGGAAAACCCUGGACAUUGUUCCUUGCCCCUGCCCCUACCCACAAGCAUCGCCGGGCCUGAGGAUCCUGCCCUAACCCUUUUCUGGGGUCUGUUUUCCCAACUCCUGAUGACAACCCUUCCAUCUGCCUCCUCCCUGCUCCCUUGCUGACCCUCUCUGCUGCCUCUGACAGGGGCUCAGUGUUCCAGGGGCAGCUUGAAUCAUCAGAGACCUCCUCUCCCCAGAGCCAGAAAAAUUGUCCCGUUCCUUGUCCUCGGAGUCUCUGAGCACAGUCACAAAAUUCAGUCCCCCAAACUGCCCCAAUGCAAACACUGCCCAGAGGAAAGGAAAGCUCCGACCGACUCUUUUUCGUGAAAUAAGGAGAAGCUUUUUUUUUUUUUUUUUAAAGGAGGAAGAAGCCGAGAUUCAUCUCUAACCAAUCUGGACAUGUGUUCGGGAAUAUUGUUGAGAACAAUUAGGGAUGUAUGAGUGAGGGGUUUAUUUCUCACUUGCUUGUCAGGUCAGAAGACAAUCUGUUUAUUUUCCUGCUACAAUUUGAUUCAAUAAAUUGAAAGGAUGUGCGCCGGGGAAGAGGGUAUGAACAGGAUGUGUGCUAUCAAUUUGUCAAAUAAAUAAUCGAGCUUGGAAACAACAGAUUUUAUUAAUUAGACAGGAUGGUGUAUUAUUACCAUUAAAGUGUUAUAUUGCAUUGAUUUUUAUAUUUUACUCGGCUACUAAUUACUGUAAAAGAUUUCGGGAAUGAAGCAAAAUAAAAUCAUGCAGCAUUAUACAUAAUGUAAAGAUAGCGUGAAUUAAUUUGUCCGCUGCUCCCCGCCUGCCUGCCGCGGGAGUGGAAGAGGCCAGAAGUGGCCUCCCCUGCGGGGGACCCGCACCCCCUGCCCUGCCUUGACUGGGGGUAGGCGGGUGGGGGGACAACUGGGAGGACUGGGGUUCCAGACCAGGCUCAGCCAUGCCCUAGCUUUGCCCCCUUUGGCGGAUCACCUCUUCCGGAAGCCCGAGUUUUCUCUUUUGUAAAUGCAAGCCCCUCUUUGCCUGCCUCCCGGAGGGGUAGUAAAGAUGUAACGAAUUCCCAAGAGUAAAAGCGCUUGGGAGAGCCAGUCUGACUUAGAAGAGGAGGCAGACAGGAGGGGGCGGCUCGGGCCAGGCCCCCUCUGCGGGAGACGGGCCCCUGCCGCUGGGCUUGGCAGCGCAGGAGAGGCCAUCGCAGCCACUCCCCUCCGGGGACAGUGCUCCAGAACCGAGGCUCACCAGCCCGGGGCCACAGCACCGCUGAGCAGAGCCCGUCACCGGAAAGGCCACGGAGGCCGCCCGCAGGACAGCGGGCGCUCCUCGCGCCGGAGGCCCCAAGGGUGCUGCUCAGCGGGUGGAAGCGCGGGCUCCGGGCACGCGCGCGGAGCAGGGUUCGAAUCCUGCCCGGCCACGGUCGCGCGCUGUGGCCACAGCCAGACCCCUUAACCUCUCUGAACGGCUGUUUCUCCUUCACUUAAAAAACAAAACAACAAAGCUAUUCGCUCAGGAAGUAAAUUCCCACGCCAGGCACUCGUUCUGGGUUACAGUGCAGGGAGACUGCCAUCAGUGAGGAAGCGGGUCCCCUCAUGAAUCUACCAGCCGUGUGAUCUUGGACUUGCCAGCCUCUAGAGAUGUGAAAACUAAAAGUGAACAUACUGAGAUGCAGAGAAGGACAAGUCGCUGUUUGGGUUGGGAAAGCUAGGUUCCCACGGAUUCCCCAAAGAAGCCAGCCCCGGACCAAGCUAACAUAGCGUGAUAGAGCAGAGGUGAACAUGGCUUUGGAAGGCAGGCAGAGUCCAUCUCAGCUCAACCAAUUGUUUGAGUGAUCUUAGGAAGGGUAUUUACCUAUGAAUCUCAGUUUCUGCACCUUUAAAAUAGGGUAACCACACCACCUCCCAGUCUUGCUCUAUGAAUCAGUUGACAAAAUGAAUGUAAGGCCCUCGAGUAAAUACCUGACUCACAGCAAGGGCGCACUACGUGGUAGCCGUUGCCACUAUGAUUGUGACUCAGCGGCCAAGGCCCGGCUGUGCGUUAUUUACGUGCGCGAUAGUCUGGUUGUGUCUUCUGCCCGAGACGGUUCCUGAGAGCAAAAUGCUCGAAGUUCUCCACACCCAGCUGUGCACAUGGCCGGGAACCGAGACCACUCACAACAGGGCCUAUUUCCGUGACCAGUGGAUGCCAAUGGCCCCUCGCUGGAAACGUUGACGAGCGCGGCUCAGGACACAGAAGCCGCCAACAGGCUUCCAAACUCUGCCAAGCCCUCCUGCCCACUCGAGCACCAAGGGGAGGGGGUGACUGUGGCAUAAACACACGUUUGCUUUCAUUUGGCUUAGCUGACUGUGUGUUUUGUUAAACACAUUUAGGUUUGGAAAAGAUUAUUUUUGGUACACUGCUGCGUAAUUAGAUGAAUUUUCAUGAGUUUAUUCUUGAAAUAAACUUUGAAAUUGUC